Molecule: ribosomal RNA, 987 nt
Filed under: Petrakia fagi
Lineage: Eukaryota; Fungi; Ascomycota; Dothideomycetes; Pleosporales; Melanommataceae
Description: SSU rRNA
Rfam family: Eukaryotic small subunit ribosomal RNA
Source: RNAcentral
AUGGCUCAUUAAAUCAGUUAUCGUUUAUUUGAUAGUACCUUACCACUUGGAUAACCGUGGUAAUUCUAGAGCUAAUACAUGCUAAAAACCCCGACUUCGGAAGGGGUGUGUUUAUUAGAUAAAAAACCAAUGCCCUUCGGGGCUCUUUGGUGAUUCAUGAUAACCUAACGGAUCGCAUGGCCUUGCGCCGGCGACGGUUCAUUCAAAUUUCUGCCCUAUCAACUUUCGAUGGUAAGGUAUUGGCUUACCAUGGUUUCAACGGGUAACGGGGAAUUAGGGUUCGAUUCCGGAGAGGGAGCCUGAGAAACGGCUACCACAUCCAAGGAAGGCAGCAGGCGCGCAAAUUACCCAAUCCCGACACGGGGAGGUAGUGACAAUAAAUACUGAUACAGGGCUCUUUUGGGUCUUGUAAUUGGAAUGAGUACAAUUUAAACCCCUUAACGAGGAACAAUUGGAGGGCAAGUCUGGUGCCAGCAGCCGCGGUAAUUCCAGCUCCAAUAGCGUAUAUUAAAGUUGUUGCAGUUAAAAAGCUCGUAGUUGAAACUUGGGUCUGGCUAGCGGGUCCGCCUCACCGCGUGCACUUGUCCGGCUGGACCUUUCCUUCUGGAGAACCUCAUGCCCUUCACUGGGUGUGUUGGGGAACCAGGACUUUUACUUUGAAAAAAUUAGAGUGUUCAAAGCAGGCCUUUGCUCGAAUACGUUAGCAUGGAAUAAUAGAAUAGGACGUGCGGUCCUAUUUUGUUGGUUUCUAGGAUCGCCGUAAUGAUUAAUAGGGAUAGUCGGGGGCAUCAGUAUUCAAUUGUCAGAGGUGAAAUUCUUGGAUUUAUUGAAGACUAACUACUGCGAAAGCAUUUGCCAAGGAUGUUUUCAUUAAUCAGUGAACGAAAGUUAGGGGAUCGAAGACGAUCAGAUACCGUCGUAGUCUUAACCGUAAACUAUGCCGACUAGGGAUCGGGCGAUGUUUCUAUCUUGACUCGCUCGGCACCU